RNAcentral lists this long non-coding RNA (777 nucleotides) under Homo sapiens (human). RNAcentral's name for it is "HSALNT0198932". Lineage: Eukaryota; Metazoa; Chordata; Mammalia; Primates; Hominidae. The record is from RNAcentral.
CCAUCUCUCAAAACACCUUCCUUUGAAGAUUCAGGUUCUUCAGACUGAGGAGCCUCUGAAUCGUGACUAGCUUGAUAGAAGACUUUACAUUAAAAAGUAACUGAGAGAUGGUCUAUUCACCUUGCAUGACUGUGCUAUCUUUAAUCAUCAAUCUUUGAAGUGCACACUGGGUCAUUCGUAAGCAAGAUUACAGAGAAUAAAAUAGAAUUUUGAUACCACUGUAUUCGCCAUGUCAUUACAAAGUCUGUAUCCACUGUCAGGCCCAGAAACAAGACAGUAAUAUACUGUCUGCACAUUUUGAGAUGAGAAAUGCAAUGAUUGUGUUGUUUUUAAACUAGUUGCUGGAACUUUUUUUUUUUUUUUUCUGGUAGCUUUUUCCUUCAGUUAGAAACCAUUUUCCAAACAAUAUUCUUAGGCUACAAAAAUGAAUGUUUUUGUGGGUGGACUUUUACUGGAUGCUAGUUAUUUAUAACCUAUUGAAGUUUUACAUUUAAGAAGGAAAAAUGAUAGAAUGAGGAGGAAAGUAGACAUAAAAUUUCAUGUCAAUGGAAUAGAUUAUUAUUCCGUUAGAUACAAUAGAUUAUUAUUCCAUUAGAUGUAAUGGAAACCUCAGAAAACAGCUGCAAAUAAGCAUCUGACUUAUUUUCCCAAUACUACAUAUGUUUAUCAUUCCCUAAAUCAUCAGUUGUUGCAUUUUGAUUAAAUUGGUUUGUUGAACACAUGUAUUUUUAAAUUUUCUGCAAAAAACAAAUUCCUAUCAUGAACACAAAGUAGGGG